UGGGGAAUUUUGGACAAUGGGCGAAAGCCUGAUCCAGCAAUGCCGCGUGUGUGAAGAAGGCCUUCGGGUUGUAAGGCACUUUUGUCCGGAAAGAAAUGGCUCUGGUUAAUACCUGGGGUCGAUGACGGUACCGGAAGAAUAAGGACCGGCUAACUACGUGCCAGCAGCCGCGGUAAUACGUAGGGUCCAAGCGUUAAUCGGAAUUACUGGGCGUAAAGCGUGCGCAGGCGGUUGUGCAAGACCGAUGUGAAAUCCCCGAGCUUAACUUGGGAAUUGCAUUGGUGACUGCACGGCUAGAGUGUGUCAGAGGGGGGUAGAAUUCCACGUGUAGCAGUGAAAUGCGUAGAGAUGUGGAGGAAUACCGAUGGCGAAGGCAGCCCCCUGGGAAUAACACUGACGCUCAUGGCACGAAAGCGUGGGGAGCAAAACAGGAUUAGAUACCCUGGUAGUCCACGCCCUAAAACGAUGUCAACUAGUUGUUGGGAUUCAUUCCUUAGUAACG
This 502-nucleotide ribosomal RNA is filed under the name uncultured bacterium. Its description in RNAcentral is "partial 16S ribosomal RNA". It matches the Rfam family "Bacterial small subunit ribosomal RNA", at positions 355 to 848 of the family's 1533-position model. The record is from RNAcentral.